RNAcentral lists this ribosomal RNA (252 nucleotides) under uncultured bacterium. Its description in RNAcentral is "partial 16S ribosomal RNA". It matches the Rfam family "Bacterial small subunit ribosomal RNA", at positions 524 to 776 of the family's 1533-position model. The record is from RNAcentral.
UACAUAGGUCACAAGCGUUAUCCGGAGUUACUGGGCGUAAAGAGUCCGUAUCCUGUUUUGUAAGUCUGAUUUCAAAUACCACUACUCACUAGUGGAAAGGGGUCGGAUACUGCAAAGCUGGAGGAAUUUGGAGGUUAGUGGAAUUACUGGUGGAGGGGUGAAAUCCGUUGAUAUCAGUAAGAAUGCCAAAAGCGAAAGCAGCUAACUAUGAAUUUCUGACGGUCAAGGACGAGAGCUUGGGGAUCAAACGGG